AGGGAGUGAGAGACCAGGAAGUCAUGUGAGAGAUGGUGUUUGUAUCAAUACCAACAGAUCAUUCUCCGUGAUAAUGGCUGUGCUUUAGAGAGAAAAUUAAAGAAAUUCUUCCAGUCAGAGAGGUUAACGUCCAACCAGAUCAGAGCUCUGGACAGCUGUAGGAACACACACUUCCUUCACGACAA
This is a non-coding RNA of Salvelinus sp. IW2-2015, 185 nucleotides long. The record is from RefSeq and is a predicted model, not a curated record. NCBI's taxonomy places the organism in Eukaryota, Metazoa, Chordata, Actinopteri, Salmoniformes, Salmonidae.